AACGCACAUUGCGCCCUGUGGUAUUCCGCAGGGCAUGCCUGUUCGAGCGUCAUUUCAACCCUCAAGCUCUGCUUGGUGUUAGGCCAUGCCCUCGUGGCCGGCCCCAAAGCCAGUGGCGGUGCCGUCCGGCUCUAAGCGUAGUACAUCUCUCGCUCUAGGGUCCGGCGGUUGCCUGCCAGAACACAAACUCUUAUGGUUGACCUCGGAUCAGGUAGGGAUACCCGCUGAACUUAA
Molecule: unclassified non-coding RNA, 234 nt
Filed under: uncultured fungus
Lineage: Eukaryota; Fungi
Description: partial contains 5.8S ribosomal RNA, internal transcribed spacer 2, and large subunit ribosomal RNA
Rfam family: 5.8S ribosomal RNA (bases 1-52)
Source: RNAcentral